AAAAAUCAUUUUCCUACCUUAGCCAGCAUUUCCCACCCUCAAAAGCCAAAAAUUUUCACCAUUUGAACGAGUUUCAAAUUUGCAAAGGGCGGGUGAAUAGUGCCUUGUGCGAAAAAUUCGCACAACACCUUGUGUUGUGCGAGUGUUGUGCCAAAUUCGCACAACACCCCCCCUUGUGCGAAUUUUUUAGUUUCUCCAUCCCUACUCUCCC
This 211-nucleotide long non-coding RNA is filed under the name Vitis vinifera (wine grape). Its description in RNAcentral is "long non-coding RNA (VVIN_LNC001062)". The record is from RNAcentral. Lineage: Eukaryota; Viridiplantae; Streptophyta; Magnoliopsida; Vitales; Vitaceae.